RNAcentral lists this ribosomal RNA (1224 nucleotides) under Lactiplantibacillus plantarum. Its description in RNAcentral is "bacterial SSU rRNA". It matches the Rfam family "Bacterial small subunit ribosomal RNA", at positions 1 to 1228 of the family's 1533-position model. Lineage: Bacteria; Bacillati; Bacillota; Bacilli; Lactobacillales; Lactobacillaceae. The record is from RNAcentral.
GACAGGGGGGGCGCGCCAAUCGGUGCGAGGUCGUAGGAUUGCUGUGGUGGAUUGGUGCUUGCGUCAUGAUUUACAUUUGAGUGAGUGGCGAACUGGUGAGUAACACGUGGGAAACCUGCCCAGAAGCGGGGGAUAACACCUGGAAACAGAUGCUAAUACCGCAUAACAACUUGGACCGCAUGGUCCGAGUUUGAAAGAUGGCUUCGGCUAUCACUUUUGGAUGGUCCCGCGGCGUAUUAGCUAGAUGGUGGGGUAACGGCUCACCAUGGCAAUGAUACGUAGCCGACCUGAGAGGGUAAUCGGCCACAUUGGGACUGAGACACGGCCCAAACUCCUACGGGAGGCAGCAGUAGGGAAUCUUCCACAAUGGACGAAAGUCUGAUGGAGCAACGCCGCGUGAGUGAAGAAGGGUUUCGGCUCGUAAAACUCUGUUGUUGAAGAAGAACAUAUCUGAGAGUAACUGUUCAGGUAUUGACGGUAUUUAACCAGAAAGCCACGGCUAACUACGUGCCAGCAGCCGCGGUAAUACGUAGGUGGCAAGCGUUGUCCGGAUUUAUUGGGCGUAAAGCGAGCGCAGGCGGUUUUUUAAGUCUGAUGUGAAAGCCUUCGGCUCAACCGAAGAAGUGCAUCGGAAACUGGGAAACUUGAGUGCAGAAGAGGACAGUGGAACUCCAUGUGUAGCGGUGAAAUGCGUAGAUAUAUGGAAGAACACCAGUGGCGAAGGCGGCUGUCUGGUCUGUAACUGACGCUGAGGCUCGAAAGUAUGGGUAGCAAACAGGAUUAGAUACCCUGGUAGUCCAUACCGUAAACGAUGAAUGCUAAGUGUUGGAGGGUUUCCGCCCUUCAGUGCUGCAGCUAACGCAUUAAGCAUUCCGCCUGGGGAGUACGGCCCGCAAGGCUGAAACUCAAAGGAAUUGACGGGGGCCCGCACAAGCGGUGGAGCAUGUGGCUUUAAUUCGAAGCUACGCGAAGAACCCUUACCAGGUCUUGACAUACUAUGCAAUCUAGAGAUUAGACGUUCCUUUCGGGAACAUGAUACAGUGCUGCAUGAUGUCGUCAGCUCGUGUCGUGAGAUGUGGUUAAGUUCCCGCACGAGCGCACCUUAUUAUCAGUUGCCAGCAUUAAGUGGUCACUCUGGGUGAGACUGCCGGUGACAACCGAGGAAGGGUGGGGAUGACGUCAUCAUCAUUCCCUUAUGAACUGGGGCCUAACACCAGGUGUCUU